This 224-nucleotide unclassified non-coding RNA is filed under the name uncultured Gemmatimonadota bacterium. Its description in RNAcentral is "uncultured Gemmatimonadetes bacterium contains 16S-23S intergenic spacer region". It matches the Rfam family "Bacterial small subunit ribosomal RNA", at positions 976 to 1200 of the family's 1533-position model. Lineage: Bacteria; Pseudomonadati; Gemmatimonadota. The record is from RNAcentral.
UGGGUUUGACAUGCUGGUGAAAGCUCCCUGAAAGGGGAGCCCUCCUUCGGGACACCAGCACAGGUGCUGCAUGGCUGUCGUCAGCUCGUGUCGUGAGAUGUUGGGUUAAGUCCCGCAACGAGCGCAACCCUUGCCCCGUGUUACUAACAGGUCAUGCUGAGGACUCUCGGGGGACUGCCGGCGUCAAGCCGGAGGAAGGUGGGGAUGACGUAUCCUCAUGCGUU